This 6188-nucleotide long non-coding RNA is filed under the name Daucus carota (carrot). RNAcentral describes it as "long non-coding RNA (DCAR_LNC005679)". The record is from RNAcentral. Lineage: Eukaryota; Viridiplantae; Streptophyta; Magnoliopsida; Apiales; Apiaceae.
AUGGCGUAUGAAACUGUACACCAGGCUACGGCUUUGACAAUUGUUUUCUACAGCCUACGGCAAGCCUAUAUGCAAUCCCUGAAACAUGCACCUGUGAGAUUACAACUUCUCUGGCUCCUACAGAAUGAUAAAGACUCAUGUGAUGGCCCUGAAUCCUGACUUAAACAUGUCCCCUACGGUAUUAUCACCCUACAAUGCAUGUCUCUCGGAAACUAAUCCCCUGCAGAUUCCCGAAGCCAAUCUUUACUGAACAACAGGCUCUCAAAACCGCAGGCUCCUAGCACCACCUACAGACCCCGUAAACCCUUGCACCCCCAGGGAUCUCCUGAUCAAACCGUAAGCCUGAUCCGAGUAGAUGAUUAAGCUGCUUGUAAGCUCUCUGCUAGUCACCUCCAAGCACCUGGACACGUGGCACUUUCUCCUGCACCUUGUCACCCCUGAAAAACUGGACUGACCUCCAUCUGUCCCAUAAUAGCUUGUCCUUCUCAUCUAUCUAGCUACUAGAUUAGCCCAUUCAACAUCCUAAGCAGCCACCUCAGACAAUAUAAAUAAAGAAGAGAAGAACUCCAGGAGGGGGGGACGAAAAAAAUAUAAAAGAAAAGGACUGUGAUAGCUACGGAAUGAGGCGGAAUUCCGCAGGCCAUCAGUUGGCGCCGCCGCCGGGGAUCGAGUAUUGUUCCCCGAGAUGUUAUUUACUGCUAUAUUACGAUGACCUAACUCAUAUGUAGACGGUCUCUCUCUGGUUUACAGCUGCGAGAAGGGUCUGUUGAACUCAAACUAUUAAUAGAACUCGCGUCGACGUGGAUGCUUAGCCUCACUAGUGUUUAGUUCUUCUUCACCUUGCCAGGUAUUACUCUUACGACUUGAUCUUACUAGCCAUACAUCAACGAGCAUGUAGUUAUAUUUGUUAAAAUUCUAAGAAUAAGAUGGAAUAUUGCUUAACAAUAAACAAUAACUAUCUCCAAACUAAUGAUGAUAUUUUACUCCAUAUUCAAUACUGUUUUUUCCCUAUAGUUAGUGAUAGAUUUGUUGGAAAGUGGAAACAUGAUAAACUUUGCAACUAUAUAUUCUUUUAUCUUUCAAAGACUCAAUAUAUAUAAAUAGUGUAUAACACACGCUUGUUUAUAUAUUAAUAAUAUCAAAGCUACAGCUUUUGUUUUCUCACCUAGAGGCUACGGCUUUUCUCUUACAACUUUAGAGCUUUGGCUCUUUCUCUUAACUAACACUCUGUAUAUUAUUUUCUUGGUUAUUUUACAAAUAAAACAAAGCAUCUUAUUUAUAAGUUACAGAUUUACCAUGUUACAGUAUGGCACACUUCAUUACAUAAUUAACAUAGCCUUCUUUAAUGCCAUCUUUACCUUGUCAUGCGGCGUACCUUUUAUUUAGGGUUCAAACUUGACUGUUGACAUGUGCUGUAGAUUUAGAGUGACAGCUUCUUCAAUAAUAACACACGUAGUUGGCCAUGCACCACCUUAUACAUAAUAUUAUGGCACACCUUAUUUUCUGGGUAUACCUCCUGGAUGACUGCUCUCGUUUUCUUUUUCAUGUUACUACAUUUGUAAACUCGACUGUAACUAUUAAUUCUUCAGAGUUUUGAAUUCUAACAAGAUUAACCAGUAUAUAUCAUUCUACUGUCCUUUGCUUAUAGCUAGGAGCGUAAUUUUUGGUAUUAUAUUAUCAAGCAGUUUCUUUGGUUGUAAUUGCUUGCCCACAGACCAUGCGCUUUUUAUUUUAUUUACCAUACUUACAAUUUUAACAUACUUUCUGGCUUUUGAUCUAAGAAAUGCAUCAACACUUCUUGCUUAUUUUGUCUUCGACUAGAGCCGGAAAGUAGUCACCAGCAUCUUACAACUCCUUGUUUCUCCUCCCUGAUAUGAUCUCAAACAAUAGCUUUCCGCAGCUAGAGACAUCUACUUUUGUAAUAAUAACCUCACCUGAAAUUCAUUCCGAUGCGAGAUAUCCUCUUGUUCACUUAUUGUUCUACGCAAAAUCUUUUAAGAUGGACAAAGUUGAUAUAUUAUGCUCAAUUGUACGUGCUCACUUCUACGCGAGCUCCUCCCCCUUGCCUCAGAUUCCUUAGAACUUUAACUGUUAUAGCUCUGGAAUCUAGCAGAGUACCCGCAAGUAUUGAGCUAAUACUGUCCUCACCCAGUUUUUUGUUUUUUUAGAAUCCUUGGUCAAUUUUUAACGUAUCUAAAAACUCCCAUUAUAACCCAAACACUCAUCUUGCCAGCCUUUUGUAAUCCUUUCACACGAACGUGAAAAACUCUUUCUCUAUUGUCACCCAAACUAGUGGUUGGAUAUUAUACACAUCUCCAUCCCAAACCAUGCGUUGUUUGCCACCUUCGCUAUUCCACAUUAGCAGGGUAGGUGACAACACAAAGGCGCAGCCAGGAGGGUGAACUGGAGAGUAGGGGGCAAUUGUGGCUACGGAAUUCUCUCGCACAUGGCGAUACGUCAAGCUAGGGGGUUUGAGAGCGUAGGUCCGUAAGCUCGGAAGAACAGGAACGCGAAGUGGUUUUGGGUGAGGCGUGCACUCGUAGGCAGGUCUUCCGGAGCUACAUCACUGCGAAUUUGUUACGUAUUCUAAGACGACUAGCAGGGGGGGUCCCACAAAGAUUGGGCGGAGGGAGCCUUCGGUGUAUAAACAUUUAAUCCGUAAUCCAUCACUUGCAUUCUUCAUCACCACUCUUUACGCCUUGAGAAUGUGACUCUCCUCUGUGUCUUGGGUUGAAAACCACAUUGCCUUUAAAAAUAAAAACGUGCCUUCUACUUCCCUUACAUCACUACAAUGCAGGGUUGAUAUCCUAGAAUAGUACACCCAUCAGUAUAAUCUCCCAACGGCCAAGUCUCGUUUCACUGCUAUUUGCUUACUUUCAGCUGCAGGAUACAUCUAUCCAUUAGAAGCUAAAAGCCACUUUACCUAAAUACAAUCAUAUCUAAGCUUAUGUGUCUUGCGCUCUAUUUCCGUUAGUAAUUGAUGUUUAUUAUAUAGAUACGUAUAUAGUCUUCUUAUAUUAUUUAUACCAAAUAAUAAUGCUUUGUGUACACAUUAUUUACGACGCAUGCAUGCAUUGUCAUUAAACAUAAUUUACCUUUAUAAAAUACAUUUGUUUGUCAUAAUGCGCCCCACACAAAUUUUUACACUUUCCUUCUAUAACACAAGUCUUUAUUAUAUACUUCCUAAUUACCGACGGCACGAUAAUGCCUAUAUUUACUUAUUUAUUAUUUUUACAUCCUGUUUUCAUUGCCAUUAUUGACUUUCUUGCAAUUAUGAUAUGCCAUUUCACCUUUUGUUCCCGCUAAUUAAGCACAUGUCUUGUUAAUUAAACAUUUGUUACUUCGCAGCAUUUUUAUAUUGUGUUGCUUACAUUUAUUUUAUUUCACAUAUAAAAUUAUCUCGUAUCUUUUCUGACUGUGAGCGCGCUUUGUUAACAUUAGAGAUCAUUUACCCUCCUUGAUUAUUACGCUUUGAUUAUGUCACUACAUAGCGUUCUUAAACUAGUUUACAUAAUGUUUUAUAUAAUUAAGUUUAUUAGCUGCCGCUUGGUAUUAAAAUUAUUAAUGUCACGCAUAUACAUUUAAUUCAUCCAAUUGUAUAGCUCUUAUAUCACUUGCUUGCUAUAAUAUAUUUCUUGUAUCAUAUUAUUUUUGAUAUACAUUUAUUUGCAUAAACUAUACUAUGAGCAUCCUACGCCAAUAAAAGUAGCAAUAACUGCUACGGCUACGGAGCACUACAUCCUACGCCAAUAAAAGUAGCAAUAACUGCUACGGCUACGGAUCACUACAUCCUACGCCAAUAUAAGUAGCAAUAACUGCUACGGCUACGGAUCACUACAUCCUACGCCAAUAUAAGUAGCAAUAACUGCUACGGCUACGGAUCACUACAUCCUACGCCAAUAUAAGUAGCAAUAACUGCUACGGCUACGGAUCACUACAUCCUACGCCAAUAUAAGUAGCAAUAACUGCUACGGCUACGGAUCACCUAAAGUCCUACGGGCAAUAUAUCCAACAUAUGUAGCAUAAAAACUAUUGCUACGGCUGCGGAUCACCUAAAAUACAAGGGGCACAUAUGCCAACAUAUGUAGCACCUGACCUGACUAAUAAUUUAUAGUGAAAAAUGUAGUUAAAAUUUGAGUUGUGAGAUAUUUAAUCCUCUUUGCUUAACCAUAUACUUUGAUUGUAGUUGGUUUCUUGUUUUUCACUUUGUAUUACAAGUGAAUCGUAUACUCUCUAGCAACAUCUUAUGCACGUCUUGUUCGAGUGAUUGUCUAUAGGUACUACAUUCUACGUAUAUGGAUAUCACAUGAAUGCUGCAUAAUCAUAUGCAUUUCUUUUCUUCUUUUACUAACUAGCUUGACCAACGUCUGAUUGAGCAACACUCACAACUCUUAUUCACUGAUUUUCUCUUCAUUAUAUUGCGUUUGCCUAACGUAGGCAUAUCAUAUGAAGCUCUUGCUGAAACACAUUUUUAAUCAAUGAGACCUAUUUUCAUUACGCAUUCGUUGAUGUGUUGACAGUGGGGCAUUAAUAAUUCUGCAUGACUCAUCUCCUUGUCAUUUUUGCUUAUUGUCUUGAUUUAUUCCUGUGUUGUUUUUCUUCACUUAUUCCUAUUCUGUAUAGCAUUUUGAUGAUCUUUACGGAGCCCAUGCACACCUUAGUGUUUUUAAAUGUCAUUAUUUUUAUGAUUCAUAGUAUAAUAUAAUGUGUACAACACUUAUGGGUUCCUUAAAUCUUUUUAUGUGUCACACUCAAGCUGUUUUAAUUUAAAAAUAAGCCGUAUUUAUACAACAUGUGACAUAUAAUGCUACUGCAUGUAAUUAUAAUUAUUGUGAUUCUUAUAAACAACAUAUUAGAUGUCUAUCUUAUUUUUAUUCUACAACUAUUUUAUAUCUCUUAUACAACUAUUCUAUAUCUCUUGUUUAUGUUACACUGUUAGCAUACAUUUUGUGUUUCUAAUUUUGUUUUUAUAUUCGUUAAUAUAUAUAUUUCAUAAAUCACAUUCUUAUAUAAGAGUACUCAUUCUUAUAUGACACUAUUCGCAAUUUAAUUUAUUGAUUUUAUAAUUUAUAUCGUUACUCUUAUUAUAUAUAUAAAAAAAAAGAGUUUGUGGGGCUCUCUCUCUCCACAAAUUCUGUCUCACCCUCAUCACAGCUUAAACCUGCAGACCUUCGAGGUGAUCCAAAAAACUUAAAGACCUUAUAUUUUUGCAUGUACUCACCCAUGUCAACUCUUAUCAUGGCAUCUUUAGUCCCAUAAUACUCCCGAGCUACUAAUUUUACAAGCUCAGUCUUGCUAACUCUUGUAGGUAUGGUGAAUAAAAAACUUGACAUAGGACGAUCCGGAUCCCUAAUCCCAGCUUUAACCCUGCGUAUAGCUCAGGUAACAUGUACACAUGAUCAUAUUGGGUCGUAGAGUUUUUUUUUUUCCCUUGUUUAAAAAGCUUAAAUGCCUCGUUCUGCCAUAUCUUUCCUACAAGGAUCCUAGCCCACGAUGAGAGACCAAGGACUAUAUUUACUUGUUUUCGGUUAUUACAAACAUAUUGCCGAUUACUCUUUGCUCCCUUUUAUGGUUCCUGAAAACUGCACAUCUACGGCUACAUCCCCAAAGUGUAUUUGGACCCUACAGCCUACAAAAAUUACAGCCCUGCUGGGCAUGAGUGCUGCAAUUACGGUGCAUUAGAAUGUUUGGGGAGGUUACCCAACCAACGAGUUAGGUACAUGGCGGACAAAUGGUGUCUACACUUCCGAGUAUAUGAGUAUUUGAAUCCUACCGCCUACAAAAACAAUACAACGACGUUAUGUAUGAGUACUGCAGUUCCAUUUUACAGUACAUAAUGUUAGAGCUGGUUACCCAAUUAACAAAUGUUAAGUACAUGACCGACAAAUGAUCUACGCUUCCGAGUAUAUGAAGCUUCCUAAAGAAAGCUUAUAUACUCAAGGGGCAUCUGAUGGCGUAUGAAACUGUACACCAGGCUACGGCUUUGACAAUUGUUUUCUACAGCCUACGGCAAGCCUAUAUGCAAUCCCUGAAACAUGCACCUGUGAGAUUACAACUUCUCUGGCUCCUACAGAAUGAUAAAGACUCAUGUGAUGGCCCUGAAUCCUGACUUAAACAUGUCCCCUACGGUAUUAUCACCCUACAAUGCAUGUCUCUCGGAAACUAAUCCCCUGCAGAUUCCCGAAGCC